This 254-nucleotide ribosomal RNA is filed under the name uncultured bacterium. RNAcentral describes it as "partial 16S ribosomal RNA". It matches the Rfam family "Bacterial small subunit ribosomal RNA", at positions 524 to 776 of the family's 1533-position model. The record is from RNAcentral.
UACGGGGGGGGGCAAGCGUUGUUCGGAAUUACUGGGCGUAAAGGGCGCGUAGGCGGUUCGCUAAGUUGGAUGUGAAAACUCUGGGCUCAACCCAGAGCCUGCAUCCAAAACUGGCGGGCUAGAGUUCUGGAGGGGGUAGCGGAAUUCCUGGUGUAGCGGUGAAAUGCGUAGAUAUCAGGAGGAACACCGGUGGCGAAGGCGGCUACCUGGACAGAAACUGACGCUGAGGCGCGAAAGCUAGGGGAGCAAACAGG